CUCCCAAACCCCUGUGAACAUACCACUUGUUGCCUCGGCGGAUCAGCCCGCUCCCGGUAAAACGGGACGGCCCGCCAGAGGACCCCUAAACUCUGUUUCUAUAUGUAACUUCUGAGUAAAACCAUAAAUAAAUCAAAACUUUCAACAACGGAUCUCUUGGUUCUGGCAUCGAUGAAGAACGCAGCAAAAUGCGAUAAGUAAUGUGAAUUGCAGAAUUCAGUGAAUCAUCGAAUCUUUGAACGCACAUUGCGCCCGCCAGUAUUCUGGCGGGCAUGCCUGUUCGAGCGUCAUUUCAACCCUCAAGCACAGCUUGGUGUUGGGACUCGCGUUAAUUCGCGUUCCUCAAAUUGAUUGGCGGUCACGUCGAGCUUCCAUAGCGUAGUAGUAAAACCCUCGUUACUGGUAAUCGUCGCGGCCACGCCGUUAAACCCCAACUUCUGAAUGUUGACCUCGGAUCAGGUAGGAAUACCCGCUGAACUUAAGCAUAUC
RNAcentral lists this ribosomal RNA (489 nucleotides) under Fusarium oxysporum. RNAcentral's name for it is "eukaryotic LSU rRNA". The stretch from base 137 to 290 matches the Rfam family "5.8S ribosomal RNA". The record is from RNAcentral. Lineage: Eukaryota; Fungi; Ascomycota; Sordariomycetes; Hypocreales; Nectriaceae. RNAcentral also lists the same sequence under 1 other name.